GUUGGAGCGCUCCGAGCCCGGCCGGAACCAUGCCCCGCAAGAUUGAGGAGAUCAAGGACUUCCUGCUCACAGCCAGGAGGAAGGACGCCAAGUGUGAGUGUGGGGCUGCUGGAGCCCCCCGGGGGGGACCCGGUGUCCCGGCGGAGCUCCUGGGGCUGGGGGCGCUGCGGGACGCCCGGUGCCGGGUGCAGUGACGGUGGUUUGAAGCGGUUUGCUCGGUGUUGGCGUGUGCCUGAGGCCGCGCUGGGCAGGGGGAUGCUGUGGGGCAGGACUCGGGUUCUCCAGGCCUGGCUGAUCACCCCGGGGGGGUUCAGCCAAGCCCCAGCUUGGAAGCUGGUUUCCAGCCGCUCCAUCCCUGGCUCGCUGCAGCCUUCGCAGCCCGCAGGGUGCCAGGCGCUCGCGGCUCUGCCACAGCGACAAGGGGAUCCUGCUCGAACCUGGCCUUCCUUGUCUUGCACGUACAGAGGUGGUGAUGGCUGAAGCUCUGACACUGCCUCAGCUCAGCACUUAACCGCGUGUGACGAGGUUUCCCUCUUCUCUCGCCUGUUUGGAUCCGACUGGCACACGGAAGAGUCACCUUCAUGCUUAAAUCCUUUUGUUAACCCACCAACGUGGCUGAGAGGAGAGUUCCACACUGAAACGCUGAGGGAGCUGCUGGCAGCCCCUCACAGAGCGUUCCUGUGCUGUUCCACUUGGAUUUCCCAGCGGCUCCAGCCGAGUGGCUCGGAUAAACUGGCUUUUGGGGAGCUCUGUGCGUGGAGCUGGGGAGCUGCAGUGUGGAAACGGGCAAUGGAGUCAGGGUUUCAUGUUGGUGGUUGUAAAACCAGCCUCAAAAUGAAGCCGUCGGCGCCGAGGAGGCUGGGGCUGAGCCCUUGGCUGUUCACCUCCUUGUUGGUGCAGCAAAACCCACUUAAUUUGGGGGUUUCACAGUGCAGGGGGCCAGGGGGAGCUGGGCUGGGGUGGCUCCGUCCUGCUGAGCUCUUCUGACCCUGCAGCCGUCAAGAUCAAGAAGAACAAGGACAACGUGAAGUUCAAGGUGCGCUGCAGCCGGUAUCUCUACACCCUGGUCAUCACCGACAAGGAGAAGGCCGAGAAGCUGAAGCAGUCGCUGCCGCCAGGUUUGGCCGUUAAGGAGCUGAAAUGAGCCGAGAAAUGGGACGUUUCAGUGUUUGUUACAAUAAAUAAACCCGACUGUUCCGCA
Long non-coding RNA from Strigops habroptila (Kakapo), 1201 nucleotides. Lineage: Eukaryota; Metazoa; Chordata; Aves; Psittaciformes; Psittacidae. The record is from Ensembl.